Mercenaria mercenaria is the source of this 974-nucleotide long non-coding RNA. RefSeq lists it as uncharacterized. NCBI's taxonomy places the organism in Eukaryota, Metazoa, Mollusca, Bivalvia, Venerida, Veneridae. The record is from RefSeq and is a predicted model, not a curated record. The transcript has 3 exons.
UUAACUGAAAAAUAUUUCGUGCUUCAGCUAUAAUCGGGGGUUACACUUGAAAAUCACGGACAUUUAAUGUUACAAUAUGGCGGAUUAAGCUUAAAAUUUUCAAAAUUUAACGUAAAAACAUGCAGUUUACCGAUUACUGAUUUUCAAGAUGUAUUUUUUAAAACUCCAAUUGACAUGUCUGGCAAUGAUUGUGCCUAGGAGCUUAUCUUUACAUCUAAAUCUCAACGUGAACGUUUACAGUGGAACUGUUCUGAUACCUGGGAUACAAAGGCUGUGGAAAUUCGGGAUAGUUGUUUGAAGGUCAAAGAGAGGAUAUUUUUGCCACGUGGAUUGUAACAGACAGUAAAUGAGCGCCAAAUGAAAUUGCUUAGCUGGACAAUUUUUGACAAGAGGAGAUGUGCAUUCAUUUUAAAUUGUUUGUGGCUGACACUGAACUUGUUUACUGAUGGCUUUUUUACUACGUCAAAACAUAAGUUAUGAACUGUAGUUGAUUUCUAGACAAACGUAAAUGGAUUCUGACAACUAAUUAAUAUCACUGGAUGGGUCAAUGGAGGCUGAGCUAUGGAAUAUGUCACUGGUUAGGAUCGCGGGUCAUGGGGAACACACUCUGUUUAAUCGAUGGUGGAUUUCCCAAGAUCCGUGAUCGUUGCCAGCGAAAAAGCGACACAUACAUGGACAAAUAUAUGGAUAUAAACGGACUCUUUUUUUUUUUUUUUUUUUUUUUUGCUUUCUUGCUAAAUGUUAUGAACAUGUAAGUUAUAAAGGUGUAUUUGUUAAAACUGCUAAAUCGUAUAUGAGACACAAAAGUACCUUGCGAAACUCCUGAACAAAUCUUUAACGUUGAACGUUUAAAAGGAGUUACUUUUAGUACAGUUUAAAACUUUGUGUCACUAUAUAUAUAACUUACAUAUCUAAAAGGUAAUGUAUAAUUGUAAUAUGUAUGAUUCAUUUGAAAAGAGAGAAUAAAAAUAAAA